This 331-nucleotide unclassified non-coding RNA is filed under the name soil metagenome. RNAcentral's name for it is "partial contains 5.8S ribosomal RNA, internal transcribed spacer 2, and large subunit ribosomal RNA". The stretch from base 1 to 120 matches the Rfam family "5.8S ribosomal RNA", at positions 35 to 154 of the family's 154-position model. The record is from RNAcentral.
GAUGAAGAACGUAGCGAAAUGCGAUAAGUAAUGCGAAUUGCAGAUUUCAGUGAGUCAUCGAAUCUUUGAACGCACAUUGCGCCCCCUGGUAUUCCGGGGGGCAUGCCUGUUCGAGCGUCAUUUCACCACUCAAGCCUCGCUUGGUAUUGGGCAACGCGGUCCGCCGCGUGCCUCAAAUCGACCGGCUGGGUCUUCUGUCCCCUAAGCGUUGUGGAAACUACUCGCUAAAGGGUGUUCGGGAGGCUACGCCGUAAAACAACCCCAUUUCUAAGGUUGACCUCGGAUCAGGUAGGGAUACCCGCUGAACUUAAGCAUAUCUAUAAGCGGAGGA